GAUGAACGCUAGCUACAGGCUUAACACAUGCAAGUCGAGGGGAAACGAUAUUGGAAGCUUGCUUCCGAUAGGCGUCGACCGGCGCACGGGUGAGUAACGCGUAUCCAACCUGCCCACCACUUGGGAAUAACCUUGCGAAAGUAAGACUAAUACCCAAUGAUAUCCCACGAAGGCAUCGGAAUGGGAUUAAAGAUUUAUCGGUGAUGGAUGGGGAUGCGUCUGAUUAGCUUGUUGGCGGGGUAACGGCCCACCAAGGCAACGAUCAGUAGGGGUUCUGAGAGGAAGGUCCCCCACAUUGGAACUGAGACACGGUCCAAACUCCUACGGGAGGCAGCAGUGAGGAAUAUUGGUCAAUGGGCGAGAGCCUGGACCAGCCAAGUAGCGUGCAGGAUGACGGCCCUAUGGGUUGUAAACUGCUUUUAUAAGGGAAUAAAGUUAGUCUCGUGAGACUUUUUGCAUGUACCUUAUGAAUAAGGACCGGCUAAUUCCGUG
Molecule: ribosomal RNA, 492 nt
Filed under: uncultured bacterium
Lineage: Bacteria
Description: bacterial SSU rRNA
Rfam family: Bacterial small subunit ribosomal RNA
Source: RNAcentral